UUCCUACGGGAGGCAGCAGUAGGGAAUCUUCCACAAUGGACUAAAGUCUGAUUUAGCAACUCCUCGUGAGUGAAGAAGGGUUUCGGCUCGUAAAGCUCUGUUGGUAGUGAAGAAAGGUAGAGGUAGUAACUGGCCUUUAUUUGACGGUAAUUACUUAGAAAGUCACGGCUAACUACGUGCCAGCAGCCGCGGUAAUACGUAGGUGGCAAGCGUUGUUCGGAUUUAUUGGGCGUUAAACGAAUGCAGGCGGU
RNAcentral lists this ribosomal RNA (251 nucleotides) under uncultured bacterium. Its description in RNAcentral is "partial 16S ribosomal RNA". It matches the Rfam family "Bacterial small subunit ribosomal RNA", at positions 336 to 579 of the family's 1533-position model. The record is from RNAcentral.